UACGGAGGGUGCAAGCGUUGUUCGGAUUUACUGGGCGUAAAGCGCGCGCAGGCGGACUAGCAAGUCAGAUGUGAAAUCCCAGGGCUUAACCCUGGAACUGCGUCUGAAACUGUUAGUCUAGAGUCUCACAGGGGGUAGGGGAAUUUCACGUGUAGGGGUAAAAUCCGUAGAGAUGUGAAGGAACACCGGUGGCGAAGGCG
This 200-nucleotide ribosomal RNA is filed under the name uncultured bacterium. RNAcentral's name for it is "partial 16S ribosomal RNA". It matches the Rfam family "Bacterial small subunit ribosomal RNA", at positions 524 to 723 of the family's 1533-position model. The record is from RNAcentral.